RNAcentral lists this long non-coding RNA (997 nucleotides) under Chrysolophus pictus (golden pheasant). RNAcentral describes it as "lncRNA (ENSCPIG00010014444.1)". Lineage: Eukaryota; Metazoa; Chordata; Aves; Galliformes; Phasianidae. The record is from RNAcentral.
GACCUUGGUUUGGGCAGACAAGAAAGGAGAUCUGCAAAUAAGCAGGAACAGAACAAAGAAAAAUGACAAAAGCUCUGACAACGCAUAUGAUAUUUAUGAAGAGCAAUCAGGAGAUGGAAAAACUUCCCAAAGCUGAGCUCGUUGUCAUCGAACAGUUGCAUCACCAUUGAACUCCUUAGACUGUUUUGGGAAGCAAUGCUGGAGGCAAAGAUAACAAUUGGAACCGAAGAGAUUCAAACCAACAUGAAGAUGAAUACACAUUGGAUCAGAAUCAGGGGAAAUGAGUUGAGAGUUGAUGGCUGGGUGAAAGCCAAGGUGUUUGCCACAGAGAUGAGCUUCCGUUCCUUCGUCUGCGCUGCGUUCAGCCGAGCGGCGCGCAGGUCCUGCCGGCACAGGAGGUAACAGCGCUUAUCUUUCUUCGAGCGGGCUCUGAACCUUCGGCUGGAUGCGCCUCACAGCGACUGAGAGCGCGGACUGAGAGUGCGCGUUUAUUUCAGGCCAUUUCAGGGUAAGAUCUCCGUUUACGUGAGCGCGAGCUUUCACGUCUUUACUUUCGUACACGAGCAGUAACUCCGUAAGCGAGGGCUAGCAAAGAAUCCCGUUCCGGCAGCGCGCUGCCGCUCAUCGCGAGCCCUUGGCGCUCGGAGCGCCCCUGGCUGCCCGCGGAGCGAAGGCGGCGGAGGCCGAGCUCCGGGCGACGAUAAAAGCAGCGAGCGCGCCGCGGCGCUCUGGGCCGGGGCUGGGCGUGCGCAGCGCUCCUAGCGGGGCCCGAGCCCUGCUCGGCGGGGGCGGUAAUUUGGAGAGGAUCCCUUGCCGGGCCGGUGCGUGCGCGCUCGUGUGUGUAUGUGUGUGUGUGUCCGUGUGUGUGUCCGUGCGCGUUGGCAGCGGUAAGUGGAGGCUGGGCGGCUCCGACUGCCUGACGCCAGCGCGACCAGAUCAAUCCCGGCGCGGAGGCAGGACGGGCGCGGGGCUCGCCCCCUCUGAGCGCCCGGCGGCC